RNAcentral lists this ribosomal RNA (862 nucleotides) under Periconia sp. RNAcentral describes it as "partial large subunit ribosomal RNA". It matches the Rfam family "Eukaryotic large subunit ribosomal RNA", at positions 75 to 956 of the family's 3401-position model. Lineage: Eukaryota; Fungi; Ascomycota; Dothideomycetes; Pleosporales; Periconiaceae. The record is from RNAcentral.
UUGCCCUAGUAACGGCGAGUGAAGCGGCAACAGCUCAAAUUUGAAAUCUGGCCCCUUCGGGGCCCGAGUUGUAAUUUGCAGAGGGUGCUUUGGCGUUGGCGGCGGUCUAAGUUCCUUGGAACAGGACAUCGCAGAGGGUGAGAAUCCCGUAUGUGGUCGCCUGCCUUCGCCGUGUAAAGCCCCUUCGACGAGUCGAGUUGUUUGGGAAUGCAGCUCUAAAUGGGAGGUAAAUUUCUUCUAAAGCUAAAUACCGGCCAGAGACCGAUAGCGCACAAGUAGAGUGAUCGAAAGAUGAAAAGCACUUUGGAAAGAGAGUCAAACAGCACGUGAAAUUGUUGAAAGGGAAGCGCUUGCAGCCAGACUUGCCUGUAGUUGCUCACCCGGGCUCCUGCCCGGGGCACUCUUCUGCAGGCAGGCCAGCAUCAGUUUGGGCGGUUGGAUAAAGGGCUCUGACACGUACUUCCCUUCGGGGUUGACAUACAGGGGAGCCGCAAUGCGACCAGCCCGGACUGAGGUCCGCGCAUCUGCUAGGAUGCUGGCGUAAUGGCUGUAAGCGGCCCGUCUUGAACACGGACCAAGGAGUCUAACAUCUAUGCGAGUGUUUGGGUGUCAAGCCCGAGCGCGUAAUGAAAGUGAACGGAGGUGGGAACCCCUCGGGGUGCACCAUCGACCGAUCCUGAUGUCUUCGGAUGGAUUUGAGUAAGAGCAUAGCUGUUGGGACCCGAAAGAUGGUGAACUAUGCUUGAAUAGGGUGAAGCCAGAGGAAACUCUGGUGGAGGCUCGCAGCGGUUCUGACGUGCAAAUCGAUCGUCAAAUUUGGGCAUAGGGGCGAAAGACUAAUCGAACUAUCUAGUAGCUGGUU